CCGAGUUCAUGCCCUUAUGGGUAGACCUCCCACCCUGUGUACUACACUUUGUUGCUUUGGCGGGCCGCCUUAGGCCGCCGGCUCCGGCUGGCGAGCGCCCGCCAGAGGCCACUAGACACUGAUUUACGUUCUGUCCGAGCACUAUAUAAUAGUUA
RNAcentral lists this unclassified non-coding RNA (155 nucleotides) under uncultured Helotiales. RNAcentral's name for it is "sequence contains ITS1". The record is from RNAcentral. Lineage: Eukaryota; Fungi; Ascomycota; Leotiomycetes; Helotiales.